GUGCCAGCAGCCGCGGUAUUACGAAGGGUGCAAGCGUUAAUCGGAAUUACUGGGCGUAAAGCGCGCGUAGGUGGUUUUUUAAGUUGGAUGUGAAAGCCCCGCGCUCAACCUGGGAACUGCAUCCAAAACUGGCAAGCUAGAGUAUGGCAGAGCGUGGUGGAAUUUCCUGUGUAGCGGUGAAAUGCGUAGAUAUAGGAUGGAACACCAGUGGCGAAGGCGACCACCUGGGCUAAUACUGACACUGAGGUGCGAAAGCGUGGGGAGCAAACAGGAUUAGAUCCCCUGGUAGUCC
RNAcentral lists this ribosomal RNA (292 nucleotides) under uncultured microorganism. Its description in RNAcentral is "partial 16S ribosomal RNA". It matches the Rfam family "Bacterial small subunit ribosomal RNA", at positions 505 to 796 of the family's 1533-position model. The record is from RNAcentral.